This is a non-coding RNA of Pelobates cultripes (western spadefoot toad), 254 nucleotides long. Lineage: Eukaryota; Metazoa; Chordata; Amphibia; Anura; Pelobatidae. The record is from the annotation of a GenBank genome assembly.
CUUUUCUUCUUCCUAGGAUGGUAAUCAUAAAUAAGUAUUGAUCAUGGGAUGCGAUGACUCCUAAUUUUAUAGGGAUACAUGAUAAAGUAGAUUCACUGCCCCAAUCAAACGCACAGCUUAAAAUGUCUUUUAUAGUUCUUCCAGAUCGUGGAGUGGUUUUCAACACCGGAACUGACAGAUGGCUAAUUCUUAGAACUAAUCUUUUUUAUCUCUGGGGAUUAUUAAUAACAGUCAUAUAUCUUCCAAUAGUCAUA